AUUGAACGCUGGCGGCACGCCUAACACAUGCAAGUCGAACGGCAGCAUUUUUCUGUAGCAAUACAGAGAGAUGGCGAGUGGCGGACGGGUGAGUAACGCGUAGGAAUCUGCCUGAAAGAUGAGGAUAACUUGGGGAAACUCAAGCUAAUACUGAAUAAUCCCGAGAGGGAAAAGGUUGCGCAAGCAGCCGCUUUCAGAUGAGCCUGCGUUGGAUUAGCUAGUUGGUGGGGUAAAGGCCUACCAAGGCGAUGAUCCAUAGCUGUUCUGAGAGGAAGGACAGCCACACUGGAACUGAGACACGGUCCAGACUCCUACGGGAGGCAGCAGUGGGGAAUAUUGCACAAUGGGGGAAACCCUGAUGCAGCCAUGCCGCGUGUGUGAAGAAGG
RNAcentral lists this ribosomal RNA (387 nucleotides) under uncultured bacterium. Its description in RNAcentral is "bacterial SSU rRNA". It matches the Rfam family "Bacterial small subunit ribosomal RNA", at positions 30 to 414 of the family's 1533-position model. The record is from RNAcentral.